RNAcentral lists this non-coding RNA (21 nucleotides) under Gorilla gorilla (western gorilla). Its record names the gene ggo-miR-532. Lineage: Eukaryota; Metazoa; Chordata; Mammalia; Primates; Hominidae. The record is from miRBase by way of RNAcentral. RNAcentral also lists the same sequence under 2 other names.
CAUGCCUUGAGUGUAGGACCG